UUUAAACAUGAGAGUUUGAUCCUGGCUCAGAACGAACGCUGGCGGCACGCCUAACACAUGCAAGUCGAACGGGACUAUAGACUUCGGUCUAUAGUUUAGUGGCAGACGGGUGAGUAACACGUGGGAAACUACCCAACGGUGGGGAAUAACUGUGGGAAACCGCAGCUAAUACCGCAUACGCCCUUAGGGGGAAAGGCUUCGGCCGUCGUUAGAGGAUCCCGCGUUCGAUUAGCUAGUUGGUGAGGUAAUGGCUCACCAAGGCGACGAUCGAUAGCUGAUCUGAGAGGAUGAUCAGCCACACUGGAACUGAGACACGGUCCAGACUCCUACGGGAGG
RNAcentral lists this ribosomal RNA (336 nucleotides) under Alphaproteobacteria bacterium. Its description in RNAcentral is "bacterial SSU rRNA". It matches the Rfam family "Bacterial small subunit ribosomal RNA", at positions 1 to 348 of the family's 1533-position model. The record is from RNAcentral. Lineage: Bacteria; Pseudomonadati; Pseudomonadota; Alphaproteobacteria.